AGGACACCAUGAUUGGUCAGAUCUCGGUCACAUGACUACCUUAGUUGCCAGGAUGGUCAGGGACUCUGACCAGAAGAAGGGAAAUGGGGAGGACCGUUCAGAGAAGCCGAAACCAGCAGAUACCCAGACCGACAAACAUUGCUGCCAUGUGAGGAAGCAGAUACGUAAGGGCAACUCUGCGUCCCCCACUUCCAGAGAGAGAGAAGUUGCCGUCUUGAAAAAUAAGGCUAUCGGCAGUCUGGGAGCGGGACGCUGUGAGAUGAGGCAAAGAAACCCUGCGGAGACCUGGAAACGAUUUUUCUCUCCCCAAAUAUAAUUAAUCAAUUAUGUCC
RNAcentral lists this long non-coding RNA (332 nucleotides) under Equus caballus (horse). RNAcentral's name for it is "lncRNA (ENSECAG00000055459.1)". Lineage: Eukaryota; Metazoa; Chordata; Mammalia; Perissodactyla; Equidae. The record is from RNAcentral.